CUUUCUUGGAUUAAGCCAUUGAGAAUUUAGGUUUAUGUGCUGGGGCAGCUAGCAUUGCCCUAAGAAAUGGGGUCCUGUUACUCACCCCUCUGAGCCUCAGAUUUCUCAUCCAUAGGAUGGGAGCAAUGAUAGCGCCAGCCUUGCUGUACUCAGGUCCAGAUCCCGGGAAAUGAAAUUUGGGGAUGCUCCUUGACCAACGCCGGGCUUUUUAGUGGUCCACUUCGGGGCCAGGCAAAGACAGAGGGGACCCGAUGGGUGACUCGAGAGAGAGGAGAAAGUUUCUUCUGCCCUUUUAGGUUCUGCGGCUGGACUGAGAAUUCAACUGACAUAAUAGUUUAACAGGAGAACGCAAUUGGAAGAAGAUCAUGACAAGUGGAGAGAGACUGUUGAAGAAAGGAACAUGCUUCCUGUUUUAGAACCUUCACACGCUUUUCCCAGCUCUGUGAACAGGGGCCAUGUGUUUUCGCUUUGCACAGGGCCCCUCAAAUUCUGUAUGGGGCCCUGAUGGGGAGCUAAGGAGUGAGGACAAAGGACAGCUGACCGAGAGCAGAGCAGCACAGUGGGCACCUACAGUCCAGGAACCAAACCGCCGCUGUUCACUUCUGCCCGUGGUAUCGCAGACAAGACGGUCACUGGCACCUGCCUCCUUCCACCUGUGAAAUGGGGAUAAUGAUGGAACUCACCUCCUAGGGAGCUGCCGUGAAGUUUCAUGCUGUCCUCACAGCAAGCUUGUCAUGAGUCUCCCAGUAGAUGUCAGUGUCGUAAUCAUCAACGCAACCCUUUAGCAAAUGUGCUACAGAGGGCACAGCGCCAAGGGCUAUGAGGCAUCAGGAGGUGACGUGAUCCUGUCCUGGAGGGACUUGCAGUCAGAUGAAGAAGGGUCCCGAGUAAUUACGCUGCAUGAAGACCGUCAUGGAGACUCGGGGGCUCAGAGGAGAAGGAGCUCCUUCUAGUUGGGGGAAUCCAAGAAGAUUUCAUGGAAGAAAGGGGAUGGGGGUGAAUUGUGUCCCCAGAAAGACAUAGUGAAGUCUUAACCCUGGUCUCUGUGAAUGUGACCUUAUUUGCAGACAUAAUCAAGUUAAGAUGGAGUCGUACUGGAGAAGGGUUACCUUGAAUCCAAUACGGCUGUGUCCUUAUAAGAAGAGGACAGAGACGCACAUGUGAUGAUCAAGGCAGAAACUGGGGAGCUGUGUCUACAAGCCAAGGAUCACCAAGGAUUGCCGGCAGACCCCGGGAUGUGAGAGAAAGGCGUGCAUGGAUGUCCCUCCAGAGCCUCUGCAGGGAGCAUGGCCUUGCCAACGCCUUUUCCAGCCUCCAGAACUGGGAGACAAUGUUUCUGUUGUGUUAGGGCAUUAUGUUGGUUGCACUUGGCUAUAGUGGCCCUAGGAAGGUUUCCAGGGUGGGUACAGGUGUUCCAGCUGUGGGCUGGCCCACGAGUGGAGGUUUACACAACAAGAAUCGUGAGGCAGUGGUUCCCAAAGUGUGUUCCCAUGAGUCACAGCAUCCUAUCGCCUGGGAGUCAUUUCUCUGGUGACGGAAGAGUCAAAACUCCCGGGUGGAGCCCCGCUGUCGUGUCUUAACAAGUCCUCAGUGACUCUGCUGCAGGUCAGCGUGUGGGAACCGCCACGAGCCAGGACUGUCUGCCCGUCGUCUGUACAGCAGAGCGAUGGGCGGGUUCGGCUGCGAAGUUAGGGGAAACCAAGCCAUGGAGGCCUUAGAAACCCCACUGAUGAGUUAACCCUCGUAUGUUAGAAUAGAGAGUCUCACGGGCUGGAGACGGGGACAUGGGUGCCGUGACUCUCAGAAGCGGCCCAGGCGGGAGGAGGAGCCGGCUUCCGAGGAGGGCACCAGCUGAAGGUGCAGGGCCAGCAUUUGGCAGAGAAGGGAGAUGGCGGAUGUGGGCUUUGGCCACAUAGAGAAGGGGCUGAGAAUGGCGAAGAGGUCAAAUGGAGCGAUACGAAAGAGCUUAGAAGGAGAAGCCAUAUGUGUGUGUACAUGUGCAUGUGUGCAUGUGUGUCCUCUCCUUUCCUCCCCAUGGUUCGUGCCUUCAGUGGUCCAGGAUUGUCUUCCCAUCACUGCUGACCCCUUUGGGGCGUCAGAGGAACAAAGCAGAGAUCCAGACCAUUGCCUGCCAACUCAAGGUGCAGCCCACCGUGCGCUCAGGUGCAGCCUUCCCUCCAUCCAGGUGUGUGAGAGCAGUAAGCCCACACCUGCAGGUGCUUCUCAUCACGCUGGCUGUGGCGGGUUUGGCCCUGAUCCUUGCACCUGGUUCUGGCAACUGGAAUGAUCCAUGUGCAACCAGUAACCUUGGAGGUGCCAGGCCUGGUGAAUAUUCUCUUCUGAGCAGAACUUUCAAAAGAUACAGAUGUAUGCUACAUAACCCUCCUUCAAUUUGGUGGUGCACUCAGGCUGACAGAAAGCUCACAACCACCUCACGGCCCUCCUCCAUCCUCUGGCCAGAGAUCUCCUUGUGUGCAGUGACAGUGGGUCGGUGCUGGGUCACGGGGCAUGGCUAUUUCCUUCCACUGCCUGCGCUCCUGCGGCCCACACUCAGCCUUCCCUCUCUUGCUCACAUACCAACUACAGGUCUGCUUGGGAAAAGCCAUUCCUGCGAGCUCUCGGAUAAUCGCCGUGGGGGCCAGUUGGUAUUUUCCCUAAAUGUCGCUCUCAUUUGAUCUGCAUCCAUCUAGAAUAGUGUUCAAACCUAGGCUCCGUCACUGGCCCGACGAUGACUUUGGGUACCUGCUCAACGACAGAGAUUCAUUUCUUCAUCCUCAAACAAGAACCACAAAACCUGCCACAGAGAGCAGCUGUCGCACCCAAUAGGGGCGUGAUAAAAGGUUAACCCUCCUUCCCUGUGACUAUGCCUCUCUUGGGCUAAUACUGUCAGUAAAACUGACCUCACAAAGCCACCUUUCCCUUGGUCACCUUGACCCCCUUUCACCAAGGUGAUCACCCAACCACCUUGACCAGGACUGUCCCUUAGCUCCCAGAGAUAAACAUCCCCCAGACAGGGACAGAAAGUGAGCUCCUCAUACACAACCGAUGCUUCCAGACACGUCUGCUGGAUCCCAGGAUGCGGGUCCAAGAAGGGCCAGGUCCAGUUUUCCAAUCCACAGAGGAGCCCAAGAAGCAUGGAGGGGGCCUCCUUCAUGCAAGCUGAUGGUGUGGCCUGAGUCUUCUCAGGUUUUUGGAAGCUGCGCUUGGGGACAUCUGGUGUCUGUCUUCUCAUUUGGUGCUGAGUUCCCCGGUCAUCCUGUUAGUGCUGCGAGGCAUCUGGAACCCCAGGCUUUGGGGCUCCCUGCCAGGCCUGGUCUGCCUGUCAUCCUGCACCUCCUGCCCAACCCCAGGACAGCCGCCGGCCCAGGGAAGGAUCAGUCACUGUGGAGGCAGCUGGUGGCUUUGGGGAUGUUAGGCUCUGUCGUCUUUAU
This is a long non-coding RNA of Equus caballus (horse), 3431 nucleotides long. Lineage: Eukaryota; Metazoa; Chordata; Mammalia; Perissodactyla; Equidae. The record is from Ensembl.